AUUGAACGCUGGCGGCAUGCUUUACACAUGCAAGUCGAACGGCAGCGCGGGCUUCGGCCUGGCGGCGAGUGGCGAACGGGUGAGUAAUGCAUCGGAACGUGCCCAGUAGUGGGGGAUAGCCCGGCGAAAGCCGGAUUAAUACCGCAUACGACCUGAGGGUGAAAGCGGGGGACCGAAAGGCCUCGCGCUAUUGGAGCGGCCGAGGUCGGAUUAGCUAGUUGGUGGGGUAAAGGCUUACCAAGGCGACGAUCCGUAGCUGGUCUGAGAGGACGACCAGCCACACUGGGACUGAGACACGGCCCAGACUCCUGCGGGAGGCAGCAGUGGGGAAUUUUGGACAAUGGGGGCAACCCUGAUCCAGCCAUGCCGCGUGCGGGAAGAAGGCCUUCGGGUUGUAAACCGCUUUUGUUCGGGAAGAAAUCCUCUGGGCUAAUACCCCGGGGGGAUGACGGUACCGGAAGAAUAAGCACCGGCUAACUACGUG
Molecule: ribosomal RNA, 484 nt
Filed under: uncultured bacterium
Lineage: Bacteria
Description: partial 16S ribosomal RNA
Rfam family: Bacterial small subunit ribosomal RNA
Source: RNAcentral